UUGAUUACAGAGGUCUGCCUCAUGACAGGUGAAAGAGAGCAGGUACACGGGGUUUUAACCCGCGCCCUGUCAUCAGUUCGCCAAGUGGAAUCUGAAUUGAGGUCUCAUACAACUGACGAUAUAGAUGAUUUUGAUGCAGCCUCUUUUGUCAGUGAAACAAGGGCCUUGUUUAGAAGUAGAUCUGUGGACUCAUCACAAAGGACAGGAAAGAGAGGCAGAAAAAAAGGAUGGCAAAGGGGACAUUUAUGGAAGACUCAUUUUUUCUUACUGCAAAAGAACGAUGAAGAAUUUGUACCACCACCGUCUGAACUAUCAAGACUGACAAGAAAUGGAUUAGAGAACAGAAGGAAGGAUGUUAAAUGAAAGCUGUCAAGUAACAGCAGGAAGCAAUGCAUCAGUGACCCAAUUGCAAGUUCAGGAGCAGGUGCAUAUACAAGAAUUGUCAAAUGGAAAUAUUGGUACAAGGACUUCAGAAAAUCCCAUUAUAGAAGACUACCACCAAAGAGAAAAUGAGGUUAUGCAACAACAUGCUGAUCUUCUAGAAAAUGAAACAUCAGAAAACAUCCCACAAAGGGCAGCUGAGGUAGGAUAACUAUAUUGCUUAUAUUGCUUAAUUGGUCUAUUAUGCUUAUUUAUGUAAUAUAUUAGUGUUUGCAAAGCCCUUGUCUGGUCAGUUUGCUGGGCUUUAAAUGCAGUUAUUGUUUUAAACCAGAUCAGCAGUGAUGUAUUGCCCCAAAACAUGAUCUGAUUUUUAUAUGUUCACCAGGUCUUUAUUUGCAGUGGUUUCAUGACACCUACUAUAUGUAACACAGAAACCUUGUGUGUGCAAUAUUUAUGCUGAUAAUUAAAAUAUGUUAAGGCAGCCCAAUUGCAAAACCAGUUACUUUGGUGCUGGAUGUUCCAUCUGAAAUGAGCUGCCAAAAAACAUUUCUCUUAGGGGCAAACAGAUACCUGUAGACAUUUUCAUUUUAAGGAGAGGUAGUUCAAAUACUAUUUUUACACAAAGAAUGCAUUUCUGUUUAUAUAGACUGAGAUUCUGGACAUUGAGCAACUAUUUCAGGCUGAUAGCUUCAAAAAUGAACUGAUUGCAACUGGCCAAUCACAGUUUCAAUUAUCAGAAUGGACUACUCAUCCAUCAACGCCUCCACCACUACCUUUCUCAUAUGUAAAUGCUGACACACCAACAGUAAUUGUACUGCUGGAACAAAGAUACAAAGACCAUUUCCUGGCUGGACUCCUCCCUGGGAGAACAGGAAGAAGCACUCCAAUGACUUGUAACCUGACCUGAUUGAUCAACCUAAGUUGAAACUACAGAUACAAGAGAGCUGCUGUGGAUGUACUGUUUUUUAGGUAAGGAAAAUAAUUGCUAUCAUACGCUUCAUUCAGUAUUUUACUAAAAUAUUCUUUUCCAAGCAUGAAAAUCUUUAAAGACUGAAAAGCAUAUAUAUAUUUUUUUAUUAAGCCUCUUUUUAAAAAAAAUUGCAGACAGCUAAUGUGUUGUAGCUAGAUGUGGUGGUCUUUGUUUAACAGGAAUCAUUUUAUCUACAUUUUGGA
This is a long non-coding RNA of Acipenser ruthenus (sterlet), 1554 nucleotides long. RefSeq lists it as uncharacterized. Lineage: Eukaryota; Metazoa; Chordata; Actinopteri; Acipenseriformes; Acipenseridae. The transcript is spliced from 6 exons. The record is from RefSeq and is a predicted model, not a curated record.